CAGUAGCCGCGGUAAUACGAAGGUCCCGAGCGUUGUUCGGAAUCACUGGGCGUAAAGGGAGCGUAGGCGGCGUGGUAAGUCAGAUGUGAAAUCCCGGGGCUCAACCCCGGAACUGCAUCCGAUACUGCCGUGCUAGAGGAUUGGAGAGGUAGCUGGAAUUCUUGGUGUAGCAGUGAAAUGCGUGGAGAUCAAGAGGAACACUCGUGGCGAAAGCGAGCUACUGGACAAUAUCUGACGCUGAGGCUCGAAGGCCAGGGUAGCGAAAGGGAUUAGAUACCCGCGUAGUCCCUGUCUCUUAUAC
This 301-nucleotide ribosomal RNA is filed under the name uncultured bacterium. Its description in RNAcentral is "partial 16S ribosomal RNA". It matches the Rfam family "Bacterial small subunit ribosomal RNA", at positions 509 to 807 of the family's 1533-position model. The record is from RNAcentral.